AGAGUUUGAUCCUGGCUCAGAACGAACGCUGGCGGCGUGCUUAACACAUGCAAGUCGAACGAGAAAGAUUUCUUCGGAAAUUGAGUAGAGUGGCGCACGGGUGAGUAACGCGUAGGUAAUCUACCCUAAUAUUUGGGAUAACAUUGGGAAACUGGUGCUGAUACCGAAUACCCUUCUUUUCUGUCGGGUUAAGGAGGAAAGGUGGCCUCUUCAUGAAAGCUACCGUAUAAGGAUGAGCCUGCGUACCAUUAGCUAGUAGGUGGGGUAACGGCCCACCUAGGCUACGAUGGUUAGCGGGUCUGAGAGGAUGAUCCGCCACACUGGAACUGGAACACGGACCAGACUCCUACGGGAGGCAGCAGUGAGGAAUAUUGCGCAAUGGGGGAAACCCUGACGCAGCGACGCCGCGUGAGUGAGGAAGGUUUUCGGAUCGUAAAGCUCUGUCAGAAGGGAAGAAGUGUUAUACAGUUAAUACCUGUAUAAUUUGACGGUACCUUCAGAGGAAGCACCGGCUAACUCCGUGCCAGCAGCCGCGGUAAUACGGAGGGUGCGAGCGUUGUUCGGAAUUACUGGGCGUAAAGGGCGCGUAGGCGGCCCGAUAAGUCAGGUGUGAAAGUCCACGGCUCAACCGUGGAAGUGCAUUUGAAACUGUCAGGCUUGAGUAUCGGAGGGGAAAGUGGAAUUCCCGGUGUAGAGGUGAAAUUCGUAGAGAUCGGGAGGAACACCGGUGGCGAAGGCGACUUUCUGGACGAAUACUGACGCUGAGGCGCGAAAGCGUGGGGAGCAAACAGGAUUAGAUACCCUGGUAGUCCACGCCGUAAACGAUGUGAACUAGGGAUAGGGGGUGUUGAUCCCUCCUGUCCCGCAGCUAACGCAUUAAGUUCACCGCCUGGGGAGUACGGUCGCAAGAUUAAAACUCAAAGGAAUUGACGGGGGCC
RNAcentral lists this ribosomal RNA (938 nucleotides) under uncultured delta proteobacterium. RNAcentral describes it as "bacterial SSU rRNA". It matches the Rfam family "Bacterial small subunit ribosomal RNA", at positions 8 to 921 of the family's 1533-position model. The record is from RNAcentral. Lineage: Bacteria; Deltaproteobacteria.